Molecule: unclassified non-coding RNA, 2836 nt
Filed under: Leishmania donovani
Lineage: Eukaryota; Euglenozoa; Kinetoplastea; Trypanosomatida; Trypanosomatidae
Description: gene:LdHU3.34.6290(CDS-product:hypothetical_prote in_conserved)
Source: RNAcentral
UGUUUCUCGUGGCGUGCUGCGUGAUCGUCAAAGGGGCGCCCACGACGAAUAAGAGGCUGCAGCCCCCCCCCCCCUGCCUUCCUCCCAAGCACGCACAGACACACGCGCAGAAGCUGCUCAGCUUCUCUCGGGCACAUUUGUCACUCACCUGUUGCGUGUGACGGGCUUGUCGUGUUGUCCUUCUCUUUCGAGGCGGGGGAGGGGGUGGGGACUUUGUUGUCCUGAACGCAUGGAGGCGCUCUCGCGGGGCUUUUGUGCAGCGGCGCUGGUGCAGUCGCUGGCGCCGAAAGAAGUGGAGGCGUGGCACCGGCAGUGGCCGCAGCCCACCCUACAAGUGGUGGACAUACAGCGCUACCCGCGCGUCCCAACUGCGUCCCGUGGGACCUCGCGGUUUUACAUGGCCGUAUCGGACUCGGAGUCGGUUGCGUGGCUCGUGGUUCCACCGUGCACCGCCUUGGAGGACUCUGUCGCCGCGUUCGAGAUAGAGGUGGGCUGCUGUGUUACGUUGCUAUCCCACGCCUUGGUAACAGCAGCGAACGGUUUGAACGUGGUUGUCCCACUUGAGGUGAAGUACUCGAACAACACGCUCCGCCUCCUUGGACAGCCUAGCUGCGCCGAGGCGCUCUUUCCACUCUCGGCUCAUUCGCUCCUGCCGCGCCACAACGCAGACGACCAUACUCCCUGCGCUGCCGCGGCGUCGCAGCGGCCAUUGCACGCGAUUGCACUACGUGAUUUCAUGGACGCCCCUCAGCGAGCACUGGGCAACUGGUGCGUCACCGCGCGGGUGGUGUGGAAGGGUCGCGCGUACCCUUUAAGUUCGCAUGCCAGCCGCCUCGGCGGCAGCAGUGACCCUCGCCGCAGCGUCUGUGCAGGCAGCCCCCGCUUUGUCUUUCGGUGUCUCCUUGCAGACGAGCACGGCGACGCCGUCAUGGCAGCAUUCUAUGGCGGCGAGGCUCUGGUGGAGCGCGUGCGGUUGCACGGCUGCUACCGACUCGCGCAAGGGAUGGUGAAAUGGGGCACAGGCGAGAGCGGCGCCCCGAGCGAGCUGCAGUUUGUGGAAAAAUCGAUCGAGGAGGAGCUGACAUCGGGCGCAACUCAGCAAAUGUUUCCCUUUCACGCAUCCGCGCUUGUUGGCGAAGUGGCUCAGCAGUUGUGCGAUGUGGUCGCGGUGAGCGAGACCGCGCAGGUGGGCGGGUACGUCUCGGUGGUGGGUACAGUGGUCGCCGUGCAGGGAAACACGCAGGUCACCACCAAACGCGGUCGUGUGUGGCGGUCCGUGGUCACCCUGGCCAGCAUCGCCGAGCACAGCGCAGCAGCGGGCCGCUGCAGCGGCCCGUUCGUGGAGGUGACCUUGUGGGGUGAGGUUGCAGAGGCGGUGGAGCCGGCACUGGGCGAGCGCUGGGUGUUUCAUCCGUGUGCGGUGCAUCUCUUUCAGCAGCGCAAGACGCUGUCGAGUCUGGCGUCGACGAUGGCGGUGAAGCUCGUGCCACACACGUGCGGCGCCAAGCACGCACCGCGCGCGACAGCGUCACCAGGAUGGGAACCCGACGGAGGUGGCGCAGACGCCGUACCGAGCGCCGUCACUGCCGGCAUGUCUGUAGGUAGUCCGAAAGUCCUCAAAAAGGAUAUGCAGCUGGUGCUCGACCUCCAGGAAGCCUCCCCUACACUGCCGGUGCUGGCGCGUGUGCAAGAGGUCGUGCGUCCGUUUUGCGACUGGAUGUGCACAGAGUGCUGCCGAACUCAGCAGAGCGUCGUCACAGCCGGCAGCAUCGCAGCUGGAAAGCCAACUGCCUGUGCGCACUGCAGUGCGGCGCAGCUCUGCCCUACACUACGCUUGCGCGUGUGGCUCAGCGACGGCCUCUGCACCGGCCUGGCGGCCUUUCAUGGCUGCGCUGCCGAGUCGCUCCUUGAAGCGUCCCCUGCGGAGGUGGCGCUGGAUGUCGAGCGACGAUCAGCCUUCGUAGAUGAAAUGCUUGAUCGUCUUGUGGGUUUGCCAGUCUUGGUGUGGCUGCUGCCGUGCGGUGGUGCCGAUUCGUUCGAUGCCGCGCAGUUUAUCGUCACCAACUGCAAACGCAUUCAUUAUGUAUCCGGCGCCCAUACGCUGCUGUCUGCCAUCGACACCUUUGCUAGCCUCGACGAAGGUGUGAGCAGCGGGGCCGCUGAUGUCUUGGCGCAGACGCUGCCCGCGACAGGGGAUACGGCGUAAGAAAGGGAGCCGCGCCGGCGCACUCCCCUCCCGAACAACGGAAUGAGACGAAGUGCGAUGCGAUUUUGCUCUGACGCCAUCUGCGUGUCCUGUUAGGGGAGGGGGGGGGAGGUGUUUGCGCGUGCGCCUGCUCGUGCGUGCUGCCUACCACCACUGCUACAUGCUCUGCUCUUUCCUCCACCUCUGCGCGUCGCCUCGCCUGCGCACAGAUCGUGACGCCGGGUGGCGCUAGGGAGUGCAGAGGAGCCGCCAGCGAGCAACAGAUCAGCGAGUCAAAGAAACAUGUGGUCGUCACUCUCAAUCACAUCUGCGCGCUUGCGGAGUGCACACAAACAAGAUGGCGGGCAGAAUCGUCGAAGCCUAAUAAUCGGUGCGACGCUGCCAAACCCCUCUGCUCCUCUCAUCCCCAUCCACACAUCGUCUCGUGGCACUAAUGAGAGCAACGACCCCUCCCCGGAUCUUCACGAAACUAGGGGGUGGAAGCCGGGCGGAGUGUUUGCGACACGGCCCCACAGCGGCUCCACCGUAGCCACGCGUUCCUGUAAUUAGCCAUGCUGACCUCCAUGCUCCUCUUCUUCCCGUCUCCCUCGUCUCUUCUCGGACCUCCAACGCGUUACUGUCCCACCUCAG